UACAGAGGGUGCAAGCGUUGUUCGGAAUUAUUGGGCGUAAAGCGCGCGUAGGCGGCUUUGCAAGUCAGAUGUGAAAUCCCUCGGCUUAACCGAGGAAGUGCGUUUGAAACUGCAGAGCUUGAGUGCUAAAGAGGAUGGCGGAAUUCCCGAAGUAGAGGUGAAAUUCGUAGAUAUCGGGAGGAACACCGGUGGCGAAGGCGGCCAUCUGGGUAGUCACUGACGCUGAGGCGCGAAAGCGUGGGUAUCAAACAGG
RNAcentral lists this ribosomal RNA (253 nucleotides) under uncultured bacterium. RNAcentral describes it as "partial 16S ribosomal RNA". It matches the Rfam family "Bacterial small subunit ribosomal RNA", at positions 524 to 776 of the family's 1533-position model. The record is from RNAcentral.